AUUGAACGCUGGCGGCAGGCCUAACACAUGCAAGUCGAACGAGUGGCGGACGGGUGAGUAAUGUCUGGGAAACUGCCUGAUGGAGGGGGAUAACUACUGGAAACGGUAGCUAAUACCGCAUACCAUCGGAUGUGCCCAGAUGGGAUUAGCUAGUAGGUGGGGUAACGGCUCACCUAGGCGACGAUCCCUAGCUGGUCUGAGAGGAUGACCGGCCACACUGGAACGGAGACACGGUCCAGACUCCGGCGGGAGGCAGCAGUGGGGAAUAUUGCACAAUGGGCGCAAGCCUGAUGCAGCCAUGCCGCGUGUGUGAAGAGGGCCUUCGGGUUGUAAAGCACUUUGAGCGGGGAGGCGUUACUCGCAGAAGAAGCACCGGCUAACUCCGUGCCAGCAGCCGCGGUAAUUC
RNAcentral lists this ribosomal RNA (406 nucleotides) under uncultured bacterium. RNAcentral describes it as "partial 16S ribosomal RNA". It matches the Rfam family "Bacterial small subunit ribosomal RNA", at positions 29 to 526 of the family's 1533-position model. The record is from RNAcentral.